CCUACGGGCGGCUGCAGUGGGGAAUAUUGGACAAUGGGCGCAAGCCUGAUCCAGCCAUGCCGCGUGAGUGAUGAAGGCCUUAGGGUUGUAAAGCUCUUUUGGCGGGGACGAUAAUGACGGUACCCGCAGAAUAAGUCCCGGCUAACUUCGUGCCAGCAGCCGCGGUAAUACGAAGGGGACUAGCGUUGUUCGGAAUCACUGGGCGUAAAGCGCACGUAGGCGGAUUUGUAAGUCAGGGGUGAAAUCCCGGGGCUCAACCUCGGAACUGCCUUUGAUACUGCGAAUCUCGAGUCCGAUAGAGGUGGGUGGAAUUCCUAGUGUAGAGGUGAAAUUCGUAGAUAUUAGGAAGAACACCGGUGGCGAAGGCGGCCCACUGGAUCGGUACUGACGCUGAGGUGCGAAAGCGUGGGGAGCAAACAGGAUUAGAUACCCGUGUAGUC
Molecule: ribosomal RNA, 440 nt
Filed under: uncultured Hyphomicrobium sp.
Lineage: Bacteria; Pseudomonadati; Pseudomonadota; Alphaproteobacteria; Hyphomicrobiales; Hyphomicrobiaceae
Description: bacterial SSU rRNA
Rfam family: Bacterial small subunit ribosomal RNA
Source: RNAcentral